UAUGAAUUAAGUAUAACGUAUAUAUCACUUACAAUGAUAAGGACUAUUUGAAUAGAAUUCAUUUAAAUUAUUAAAUA
RNAcentral lists this transfer RNA (77 nucleotides) under Stanisicarion freycineti. RNAcentral's name for it is "tRNA-Val". Lineage: Eukaryota; Metazoa; Mollusca; Gastropoda; Stylommatophora; Helicarionidae. The record is from RNAcentral.